This is a long non-coding RNA of Lathyrus oleraceus (garden pea), 2471 nucleotides long. RefSeq lists it as uncharacterized. NCBI's taxonomy places the organism in Eukaryota, Viridiplantae, Streptophyta, Magnoliopsida, Fabales, Fabaceae. The record is from RefSeq and is a predicted model, not a curated record. The transcript is spliced from 5 exons.
CUACUUUGUUUCCUUAUCUUUUUGUGUGAGAACUAUUGUUUUUGAACCUUUUUCUCUCUUCCCCUUCCUUUCUACAAAUUAUCCCUCAUUUGGAUCUAGGUAAGCCAUUACCAUUCAGGGUUUCAACAAUAUUUUUGUUAUCAAAACCAAACUCCAUAUUCCGAAAACAACAAUAUAAGGCUAUUUACAUGGAUUUUUAAAUCGAGAAAGCUUUCUCCAUUAAGACGUCUUUGUUUACCUUUAUGCUAUGAGAGAUAAUCGCGAGAGCUUCACCUUUUCUAUAAGAGCUAAUCGCGAGAGCUUCCCCUCAAAGUUCCCGUUAACCUUUGCAUGCUAAGCUAGCAUCCGAGAUGCAUUUUAUCCAACCAUUUCCAGGAAGUUUCCAAUGAAAUCGAUGUUUAUUUUCAUCAUCUAGUUUUCUAUUGUUAUCAUAGUACUUGUCGUCCAUAUUCUUGUUCUGAUUCUUCCUAAUAUUCGCCUAUUUUUAUUUUUUCAUGUUGUUCUUUCAAUGCUUAUCUUCACUUUGCCUUUGCUUUCUGAUUUCUCCAUCUUCCUCCUUAUUUAUCCUGAGGCUAUACCUUGGUGUAUCAGUGUUAUCAUGAUGUUUGUGGCUCUCUGUGUUAGUGUUACACGUCUUAUCCUUGGCUUUUCUGGGUGAAGCAUUGUGUUGAUCAUUAUUGAUGGGGAGCAAUCCUCAUAUUAUUUUGAUAGUGAUACCUAUUUUGGCAAAUGUGGCGGUCAUUAUCCUUGUUCUGAUGUUGAGAAAUUGGGUUAUUUAGUGUGAUAUUUCCCCAUGGGGGAAACUUUGUUCACGACAUGCACGUGUAAUACAAAGGAGGAGUGAAACCAAUGUAGAAGGGCAAGAAUAUGAUAAGUGGAGUUUUUUCGAGGAAGUUAGCUUAGUUAAAGACCGGGUUUAUGAUGGAUUUAGACUUUGGAAAAAGAUAUUAGGACUUCAUGAAGGGUUUGUUCACUUCAUUGAUGAUGUACAAGCUGAAAAAAUUCUAAUCAUAGCCUUGGUAGUAAUGUUGAUGGGCAUAUAUGGGUAGAACAUGGUGUUGAAGACAUGAUAAGCAAUGUGUUAAAGCCUGAUAUUAAACAAUUUAGUUAAUGUAAUGAUGAUUAUAUCACUGAUGACGAUGAUAGGGGAAUAAGGUUUGAUGAUACCAAACUAUGGUGUAAAAAUUCCUUUAGUUUUUACCUAAGUGUGAAGUGUUGAUGAACAACCUUAGUGAGUCAUUUAAUAAUAAAAUUCUACAAGCUAGAGAUAAACCAACUUUGACAAUGUGUGAGUGGAUUAGGAACUAUAUAAUAAAUAGGGUUGCUAACAGUUUGGUUAAGCUUGACAAAUGGAAAAACAAUGUCAUGCUCAUACCUAGGAAAAAAUUAGAUAAGGAAAUUUUGUUGAGUGGUCAAUGGCUGCCAACAUGGAGUAAGGGUGAGUUAUGGCAAGUUCAUCAUACAUAUAAUGGACUUCAGUUUGUAGUUAAUCUUGGGGAAAAAUUGUACGUGUUGUUUUUGGGACCUAGUGGGGAUACCUUGUAUACAUGUUGUGUCUGCUAUGUAGUAUCAAAAUUUGAACCAUGAAUCAUAUGUUGACCCAUGUUACACGAGGGAGGCUUAUAAAACCUACUAUGAAAACAAUGUCAGUCCAAUCAAUGGUAUGGACACAUGGCCAAAUAUGGACAUUGAGGACAUGCUGCCACCUCAGUAUAAGAAGGGUCCAGGUAAGCCUAAGAAAUUGAGGUUUAUAGAGCAUGAUGAAUCUGGGUCUAGGAUGAGCAGGCAUGGUGUAGCAUAUAGAUGCACAAAGUGUGACAAAUUUGGCCAUAAUUCAAGGAAAUGUCAUAGCAAAGAACGUGAUCUUAAUGCAUUGAAAAGAAAGAGGAAAACACCAAGGACCAAGGCCUUUGCAAAUGAUGUUGAAAUUGAAGGGGUGUCUAAGAUAAAUGCUCCUGAAAGUGUGCAUGGAAUAAAUGAUCCAAAUUUAGAUGCACAGCUUAAAGAGAUGAUGACAUAUUUUGAACACACAACUGAUGUUGCACAAAUAGAGAAGGCAUAAUCUCAAGUGUGCAAUACCACCCAUGAAUGUACACUAACUGAGCAUACACAAGAAGAAGAAGUUGUCUAAGCAGUUCCUCAAGAAGUUGUCCAAGAAGUUUCUCAAGAAGUUGACAAAAUAGUUGAGAAGAAGAAAAAAGUUGCCAAAGUAGCUGAGAAGAAGAAACAAGUUACUAAAGUAGUUGAGAAGAAGAAACAAGUUUUCGAGGAAGUUAAGAAGAAUAAAUAAGUUACCAAGGAAUUUGAGAAGAAAAAAAAAUUGAUGUGAAUAAUACACAGGCAUCUAAGAGAAGUAGUGAUAGAUUGGAAUCUGUUUGGAGGUCUAAACAUAAUGUUGGGCCUGGUUCAACUUCAGUUGCAUCAUUUGUAGUUGAUGAGGAACCUUCUAUGAAGAAAAUGAGGCCAUGGGA